Molecule: ribosomal RNA, 460 nt
Filed under: uncultured bacterium
Lineage: Bacteria
Description: partial 16S ribosomal RNA
Rfam family: Bacterial small subunit ribosomal RNA
Source: RNAcentral
CCUACGGGAGACAGCAGUGAGGAAUAUUGGUCAAUGGCCGAGGGGCUGAACCAGCCAAGUCGCGUGAGGGAUGACGGUCCUACGGAUUGUAAACCUCUUUUGUCGGGGAGCAAAGAGAGCCACGUGUGGCGCAUUGAGAGUACCCGAAGAAAAAGCAUCGGCUAACUCCGUGCCAGCAGCCGCGGUAAUACGGAGGGUGCAAGCGUUACUCGGAAUUAUUGGGAGUAAAGAGUGCGUAGGCGGGAUAGCAAGUCAGAUGUGAAAUCCUAUGGCUUAACCCUCGUGCUGCCUUUGAAACUGUCGUUCUAGAGUAUGGGAGAGGUAGGUGGAAUGCGUGGUGUAGGGGUGAAAUCCGUAGAGAUCAAGCGGAAUACUCAUUGCGAAGGCGACAUGCUAGAGCAUAACUGACGCUGAUGCGCGAAAGCGUGGGGAGCGAACAGGAUUAGAUACCCCUGUAGUC